RNAcentral lists this ribosomal RNA (433 nucleotides) under uncultured bacterium. RNAcentral describes it as "partial 16S ribosomal RNA". It matches the Rfam family "Bacterial small subunit ribosomal RNA", at positions 29 to 507 of the family's 1533-position model. The record is from RNAcentral.
AACGAACGCUGGCGGCAUGCCUAACACAUGCAAGUCGAACGAGACCUUCGGGUCUAGUGGCGCACGGGUGCGUAACGCGUGGGAACCUGCCCUUAGGUUCGGAAUAACUCCCCGAAAGGGGUGCUAAUACCGGAUAAUGUCUUCGGACCAAAGAUUUAUCGCCUUUGGAUGGGCCCGCGUUGGAUUAGCUAGUUGGUAGGGUAAAAGCCUACCAAGGCGACGAUCCAUAGCUGGUCUGAGAGGAUGAUCAGCCACACUGGGACUGAGACACGGCCCAGAAUCCUACGCGAGGCGGCAGUGGGGGAUAGUGGAACGUGGGCGAAGGCAUGAUCCAGCACGGACGGGUGAGUGAUGAAGGCAUUAGGGUUGUAAAGCUCUUUUACCCAGGAUGAUAAUGACAGUACCGGGUGAAUAAGCUCCGGCUAACUCCGUG